UUUCAUAGUAAUUUUAUUCAUGAAUAUGGUCACUUAAACUUCAUUUCACCUUUGCCCAAGAAGAAUUUUGCUUCAGUUUAUUUAUUUAACACAAAAGAGAAUGUCUGGCUUAUUAUGCUUCAGAUGAUUGACACAUCUCUUGUUUGGAUCCAGAAAAUGUUAUUUAAAAUUGCAGAAGGGUACUAGGAGCUUGUGAAACUUCAUUCUUAUAACAGUAAAGAAGCUUGUGUUUAACUAUUCAUUUUAAUUGUAAUCUUUAAGACUUCAUAGCUUUUUUUCUUUCUUGAAAAGCAUUGCUGUUAAUAUAGGCAUUUUAAACUGUUUUAUUUAGACAAAUUGUUGUCUUAAAAUUGUAUGUACACAGUUGCUCCUAUUGCGUUUCAAAGAUUAAAGUCAAAAUAUGGCUUUACAUGUUUACAUCUUGCAAAAUUACUCCUUCAAGAGGCUUUAAAAUACCAAAUAUGAAAUACAAAUUUGUGCACGAUAGUGUGGUUAGAAUUUUAACAUACAUCAAAAGAAAUCCUUCCAGAGAGGUCAUGAGUUCAACUUUUAUAUGUUCCUGUUUAAGUUAUAGGUGCACUAUGUAAAAUGUCCCCCUUUUUGAAAAAAGUUAAGAACCUAGAAACUGAAUAGCACGAAAAACUCUUUGUGGGACUCAAUAAUUCAUCUGGAAAGGGCUUUGUGUCUGUCUUUCAUGUUUAUCACUGUUUUUAGCUUUCUUGGAGGUGGGAAGAGCUUAUAGUUAAGGGCCCAUUAUCAGGGAAAAGGAUGCAGGAAGUCCAAAAUAUUUAUAUUUGUUCGUGGCACAUGGACAGAAGAUGGUUCUCAGGAAAAGGGCUUUCUGAUUGAUUGAAGACAUGCUGGCGUAUUUUAAUAGCUUCUUCUGUCCAAGAGAUAGCAUCAUCUUUGUCCUUAUCGCUGCUCUGAAACUUACUUUAAACAUUCUCCCAUGCUCCUCCAAUUAGAUGCUUCACUCUCUUGGCUUCCUGUGUCCUCGCUGCAACUCAUCUCAUUUGUUUGCAUUCUCAUCUUUGUCAGCAGGUUGGGUGAAGAAGAGGCAUAUAACAGAUAAUUGAAGGGACAUGCUUUGCAGCUUCAAAUUCAUCUGCAUGGCAUCCAGCCACAGCCACACGGUGAUGGCGAUAAAAUGUGGAUGUGGGAAACAUCAGCUUCCACUUUGCAAAAGCUUAAGAGCCGGCAAUUGAUUGAAUGGAAUGAGAAGAUGAAGAGAAUUAGAAGUGAUAUUCCUAAGGUGUUCUGCAGACCAACACACCAGACAGAAGACAUGGAUUAAGAAGAAAGAAUGAAAAAAAAGAGAGAAAAGAAAAAGAAACAACACACACACAGCAUCGGAUGAAUUUUAGAGUUGCUGACAAUUCAGAAACAUGAAGGAACAAGGAGAGAAAAAAAGUGGACAAUGUCCUGGACCAAAGUACGAAAGAGGUGUUUUGAGAAAGGGAUGCCAUAAGAAAUAGCAUAAGAGUCAGUAAAUAUUUGGGGAGAGAUGGAGUGGGAAUGGAGGGAGGGAAGGGAAGAUGGAGAGACGGAGGGAUUGUAGGAGACAAGCAGCAUGAUAUCUCAGGCUUUAGGAAAUAGAUUGCUGGGGUUUACAAAAAGGGCAGGCCACAUUCCAAGGUCAAGAAAGGCAAAAGUUCAUGUGGCUCACCAGACAAUCUUUGAAAAGUAGAAAUCCUAACAAUUUAAUCACAAAUGAGCGUACUAGAGAAGUGAAUGCAGUAUUGACAUUUAGCAAUGCAGCCACAAAGACUCACUCUCCAGACAGCAUCCAGUUAUAGGGCAUCCGCAGAAAUAGAAGGAAACCUGACUCAGCUAGAGGAGGGAGGGAAACAUGGAGGAAUGUCAAGUCGGCUGAGUACAAUGUACAUUUGAAAACACUGCUACAAGGGUUUGUAACUUCUGAAACUAACUUCAUCUACAGUUGCUUCCAUAGAUAGAACCCCUGACUAAUAUGAAAAUGCUUUGCAUGAUACUUUCAUAAUAUGUUUAUCAGCAAGGAGAAAUGUUUCCAAGAGUGACAUGAUAGAACAAGGACAAUCUGGAGCUCAAGUCAUGUGAGCUAAAAAACUGUAAAGAAAAACCCAUUGGUUUGUACAGGGGUAAAGCAUCGAGUGAAUUAAAUAGUAAAAGCCUGGAAGAUCAAAGAGCAUGAGAGUUGUAAGAUUGGCUUGGAAAGGAGAAUGAUGAGAGGCUUAUGAAAUACCAACAGGUCAUUGACCCUGAUUUUAAGGGGAAAUAGUGAGAUUCCUUAAUAUUUACUGUUUACUAAAAUACUGUCAAAUUCUUGCUGGCUUUUAGGAACACUAACCAUAAUGCUUUGUGAGAACCUAUGUAGAAAUGUAGUGUUACUGGAACCAACUUUGACUUAUUGCUAGCCACACAUUCCCUUCCCAAAUGAGGCGUAUGGAGUGAUAGGCAGGAAAGCUGAAGUUGAAGUAUAUCUUUGGUUUCAAAAGAAAUUUAUUGGACAGAAUAAUUUAAGUAAUUCUGGGUCAGACAGAAAAUGUUAAGUUGCAUUAACUUAUCCAAGAUAUGCUUCUAUCCCACACUGAUGGUUGAAAAUUUUUUAUUUAAUCCUCAGUAGUCUUGUACUGUAUUUCACCUGAACCAACAGGACAAUUUUUUGUUCCCUGGAAUUUAAGAUAACACAAUAGUGUCUUGACCUGUGUACUAGGGAGAGAUGAACUCUUAGCUGGCCAUUCUUGGAUUCUGUGGUCUUUCGUGGCAUGUUGUCCUCCUUUGUGUCUUAGUACUUUCGGUUUCAUACACACUAUUCUGGAGGGAGCAGAUCAGGUGCUCCUAGUAAACUGUAGAUAUUCAAUGAUUCAGAACUGUCUGAUGUCCCCACGGGAUAUGUGGCAGGAAGUAAACAACAGCAUUUAGUCUUGCUAGUGCUGUUGACUAUGAUAGCAGACAGCAGAGCAUUCAUUGUUCAUGCUCCUCUUUGCUGGGACCUUCUUAUUGCCUUCUGCUCUACUCCAGUUCCUCCCUGUAGCUGAUGAUGAAGGUGGAUUCCUGGACGGCAAGGUUUGAAUUGAUCCAUCUUUUCCUAAUUGCUAUGGGGAGUGCGGGUUCCCUAAGUUCACAAUUGCUGCGCUUCUGCAGAACACACGGUCCUCAGCUGAAGGAAACCAUAUCAAACGUGCCGGGAGCAUAAGCCAGACUUUCAGAGGUUCAAGGUCAACUCAAUUUCGAGAAGGAAUGUGCAUCUCAGGGCUACUGAGCAGAGCCUUCAAUGCCAAUUUAAUGCAAGUACUCUUCAUCCCGGAACACUAGAAGGCCAGACAUAAAGCUUUGACUUCAAGCCACACACAAAACAUGUGAUUCCAUAUGGGCUUUUGCUGCAUGGUAGCUGUUGAAGGCUUACGUGUGCCAGUUAAAGACAGCUUGAAGGUAACCACUUGAAAGUCAGCAUCAAACAAAG
RNAcentral lists this small RNA (3442 nucleotides) under Rattus norvegicus (Norway rat). RNAcentral describes it as "uncharacterized LOC103692893". Lineage: Eukaryota; Metazoa; Chordata; Mammalia; Rodentia; Muridae. The record is from RNAcentral.